Molecule: ribosomal RNA, 539 nt
Filed under: uncultured soil bacterium
Lineage: Bacteria
Description: bacterial SSU rRNA
Rfam family: Bacterial small subunit ribosomal RNA
Source: RNAcentral
AGAUUGAACGCUGGCGGCAGGCCUAACACAUGCAAGUCGAGCGGCAGCACGGGUACUUGUACCUGGUGGCGAGCGGCGGACGGGUGAGUAAUGCCUAGGAAUCUGCCUGAUAGUGGGGGAUAACGUUCGGAAACGGACGCUAAUACCGCAUACGUCCUACGGGAGAAAGUGGGGGAUCUUCGGACCUCACGCUAUCAGAUGAGCCUAGGUCGGAUUAGCUAGUUGGUAGGUAAAGGCCUACCAAGGCUACGAUCCGUAACUGGUCUGAGAGGAUGAUCAGUCACACUGGAACUGAGACACGGUCCAGACUCCGUACGGGAGCAGCAGGUGGGAAUAGUGGACAAGUGGGACGAAAGGCCCUAGAUCCAGCCAUCGCCGCGUGUGUAGAAGAAGGUCUUCGGUAUUGUAAAGCUAACGUUUAAGGUUAGGGAAGGUAAGGACUAACGUUAAACCGUAAGUUAACGGUUAGUUAGUUUUAGAACCGUUUACCGACUAAGAAUAAGACCACCGGACUAACUCUGUCGACCAGCAGCCGUACG